GAUGAACGCUAGCGGCAGGCUUAAUACAUGCAAGUCGAGGGGCAUCAAGGUACACGAAAGUGUAUUGUUGGCGACCGGCGGACGGGUGAGUAAUAGGUAGGUAACCUACCUCAUACUGAGGCAUAGCUGGGAGAAAUUCCAGGUAAUUCCUCAUGAGGUUAUAUGACACAUGUGAUAUAAUCAAAGGUAUCGCAAGGUACUGGUAUGAGAUGGGCUUACUGACCAUUAGCUAGUUGGUGAGAUAAGAGCUCACCAAGGCGAAGAUGGUUAGGGGUUUUGAGAGAGAGAUCCCCCACAUUGGAACUGAGAUACGGUCCAGACUCCUACGGGAGGCAGCAGUAGGGAAUAUUGGGCAAUGGCGGAAGCCUGACCCAGCCAUGCCGCGUGAAGGAAGACGGCCUUAUGGGUUGUAAAACUUUUUAACUAAUGCGACUAAACUAGAUUUACGAGAUAAAUUCUAUAAGAAUGUAAGCAUAGCAAAAAAGCAACCGGA
RNAcentral lists this ribosomal RNA (493 nucleotides) under uncultured bacterium. RNAcentral describes it as "bacterial SSU rRNA". It matches the Rfam family "Bacterial small subunit ribosomal RNA", at positions 28 to 498 of the family's 1533-position model. The record is from RNAcentral.